CGCGGGGUGGAGCAGCCUGGUAGCUCGUCGGGCUCAUAACCCGAAGGUCGUCGGUUCAAAUCCGGCUCCCGCAACCA
RNAcentral lists this transfer RNA (77 nucleotides) under Escherichia coli. Its description in RNAcentral is "tRNA-fMet(cat)". It matches the Rfam family "tRNA". Rfam says of the family: Transfer RNA (tRNA) molecules are approximately 80 nucleotides in length. Their secondary structure includes four short double-helical elements and three loops (D, anti-codon, and T loops). RNAcentral also lists the same sequence under 42 other names. Lineage: Bacteria; Pseudomonadati; Pseudomonadota; Gammaproteobacteria; Enterobacterales; Enterobacteriaceae. The record is from RNAcentral.